This 497-nucleotide ribosomal RNA is filed under the name uncultured bacterium. Its description in RNAcentral is "partial 16S ribosomal RNA". It matches the Rfam family "Bacterial small subunit ribosomal RNA", at positions 28 to 507 of the family's 1533-position model. The record is from RNAcentral.
GAUGAACGCUGGCGGCGUGCCUAAUACAUGCAAGUCGAGCGAACGGACGAGAAGCUUGCUUCUCUGAUGUUAGCGGCGGACGGGUGAGUAACACGUGGAUAACCUACCUAUAAGACUGGGAUAACUUCGGGAAACCGUAGCUAAUACCGGAUAAUAUUUUGAACCGCAUGGUUCAAAAGUGAAAGACGGUCUUGCUGUCACUUAUAGAUGGAUCCGCGCUGCAUUAGCGAGUUGUUAAGGUAACGGCUUACCAAGGCAACGAUGCAUAGCCGCCCUGAGAGGGUGAUCGGCCACACUGGAACUGAGACACGGUCCAGACUCCUACGGGAGGCAGCAGUAGGGAAUCUUCCGCAAAGGGCGAAAGCCUGACGGAGCAACGCCGCGUGAGUGAUGAAGGUCUUCGGAUCGUAAAACUCUGUUAUUAGGGAAGAACAUAUGUGUAAGUAACUGUGCACAUCUUGACGGUACCUAAUCAGAAAGCCACGGCUAACUACGUG